UAGAAGUUUAAUAACCACUCCAAAUUCCAACACUACAUCAGUCAUUCCAAUGCAGAAUACAAAGUUUGUGUUAUUCCAAACAGUUUUCCAAAAUAGUAUUCAAAUUAUGCUCAGUGAUUAAAAAGAUAUUGAAGAUGUAUUUACAUUUUGUAUGCUAUUGUGUGAAAUCAAAUUUCUUCAGGUUUAACAAGCAGUGAAAAUAUCAGGG
This 208-nucleotide long non-coding RNA is filed under the name Mytilus galloprovincialis (Mediterranean mussel). The record is from RNAcentral. Lineage: Eukaryota; Metazoa; Mollusca; Bivalvia; Mytilida; Mytilidae.